RNAcentral lists this ribosomal RNA (388 nucleotides) under Galaxiella munda (western mud minnow). Its description in RNAcentral is "partial 12S ribosomal RNA". It matches the Rfam family "Bacterial small subunit ribosomal RNA", at positions 794 to 1384 of the family's 1533-position model. Lineage: Eukaryota; Metazoa; Chordata; Actinopteri; Galaxiiformes; Galaxiidae. The record is from RNAcentral.
GCUUAGCCGUAAAAUUUGAUAAUGUUUUACAACUAUUAUCCGCCAGGGUACUACAAGCGCCAGCUUUAAACCCAAAGGACUUGGCGGUGCCUCAGACCCACCUAGAGGAGCCUGUUCUAGAACCGAUAACCCCCGUUAAACCUCACCUUUUCUUGUUAAUACCGCCUAUAUACCGCCGUCGUCAGCAUACCCUGUGAAAGACCUAUAGUAUGCAAAAUGGACAAACUCCAAUACGUCAGGUCGAGGUGUAGCGAAUGUAAAGGGAAGAAAUGGGCUACAUUCCCUAGUAUAGGGAACCACGAAAGGAAUUGUGAAAUCAACUCCCGAAGGUGGAUUUAGCAGUAAGUAAAAAUUAGAGUAUUUUACUGAAACUGGCUCUGAAGCGCGC